UACGGGGGGGGCAAGCGUUGUUCGGAAUUACUGGGCGUAAAGGGCUCGUAGGCGGCCAACUAAGUCGGACGUGAAAUCCCCAGGCUCAACCUGGGAACUGCGUCCGAUACUGGAUGGCUUGAAUCCGGGAGAGGGAUGCAGAAUUCCAGGUGUAGCGGUGAAAUGCGUAGAUAUCUGGAGGAAUACCGGUGGCGAAGGCGGCAUCCUGGACCGACAUUGACGCUGAGGAGCGAAAGCCAGGGGAGCAAACGGG
This 253-nucleotide ribosomal RNA is filed under the name uncultured bacterium. RNAcentral describes it as "partial 16S ribosomal RNA". It matches the Rfam family "Bacterial small subunit ribosomal RNA", at positions 524 to 776 of the family's 1533-position model. The record is from RNAcentral.